RNAcentral lists this ribosomal RNA (253 nucleotides) under uncultured bacterium. Its description in RNAcentral is "partial 16S ribosomal RNA". It matches the Rfam family "Bacterial small subunit ribosomal RNA", at positions 524 to 776 of the family's 1533-position model. The record is from RNAcentral.
UACGAAGGGUGCAAGCGUUACUCGGAAUUACUGGGCGUAAAGCGUGCGCAGGCGGUUGGUUAAGUCUGAUGUGAAAGCCCCGGGCUCAACCUGGGAAUGGCAUUGGAAACUGGCUGGCUAGAGUGUGGCAGAGGGGGGUGGAAUUCCGCGUGUAGCAGUGAAAUGCGUAGAUAUCUGGAGGAAUACCGGUGGCGAAGGCGGCAUCCUGGACCGAGAUUGACGCUGAUGAGCGAAAGCUAGGGGAGCAAACGGG